AGCGAUCUGGAAUGUAAAACCAAGUAUAACAAAGGGGCUACUAGGAAUGACUAGGCAAUGGAACGGAAUGAGGUCAAAUCCAAACUGUCGAAUCCUAUUAAGGGUAUGUUAAUCAACCCGGUCUCGACGAUCAAGGCCAAAAGGUAUCUCACUUACCCUGGAAACUGAAACAUCUUAUUACCAGGAGGAAAGGAAAUCAACCGAGACUCUAUUAGUAGUGGCGAGCGAACAUAGAUAAGCUAACUUUAUUAGAUUUGCCUUUUACAAUUGGAAUUACAUCACAUUGAAAAAAGGCAAGCUUAGAUAACCUCUGUUUUCAUUUGACCCUCUUAGGCUACCUAUGCCGCUAGAGGGUGCAGUAGGAAAAUAAGCUAGGGGAAUAAAAACAUAAAUAAUAGCUUGGAAUAGCUAGCCAUAGAUGGUGAUAGCCCAGUAAAAAUUAUGAGUUUGCUCCCUUUCCCUUUAGCAAGGAAUCUAAUUCCCUAAAUAGUUUAAUUAAUUGGCGGCUUAUUAAGCUGCUUUUAUAUACCCUGUCUAUUAAGGCAGAAAAGGUGUACCAUCAUCAAAGCUAAGUAUGCUCCAUUGACCGAUAGUGCAGAGUACCGUGAGGGAAAGUUGAAAAAGUAGGUAGUAAACUGGUGAAAAGCCUGAACUAGUGGCUCUAUAAGCAGCUGGAAUCAUAAUAACCAUUGACUCCAACUCAAUGUAUGAUGACAGCGUACCUUUUGCAUAAUGGGUUACCUACCAUUAGACCCGAACCCAGGUGAUCUUACCAUGGCCAAGUGCUAUUUAAUAAGACUGAACGGGUGUCCGUUGCAAGGGACUCCGAAGAGCUGUGGUAAGGGGUGAAAGGCCAAUCUAACCUGGAGAUAGCUGGUUUUCUGCGAAACCCGUUUUAGCGGGUAGUCCAUUUAUUAACUUAAUUUGUUACUAGACGGUACGGCACUGGAAGCCACGCUAUUUUAUAGCCUAAUUGGGGGGCUGUCAUGGCUCUAUCAAUGGCUUCUAACCCCGGAAAUGUAUAGUAUACAAUAAUGGACAAUCAGACGAUUCGUGAUAAGGCGAUUUGUCAAAAGGGAAACAGCCCAGAACAGGAGUGAAGGUCCCUAACAAACUACUGAGUGAACAUAAGGCAGUCCUUUCCAGUGUCUCUCCACAAAGUGGGCUUGGAAGCAGCCACCUUUUAGCGAUAGCGUAACAGCUCAGUGGUUUAAGUUCCCUAUAAAAAGGGUAAAUACCUGGUGAGGGCGCCAAAAAUGUAACGGGUCUAUAGUAGUUGUCUCUCUAUUUCAAUUCAGAAUAAGGAGGGAGUGGCAGUUAAUACAGGUGCAGAGCUCCUUUACUGCUUCACCGAAACCCUGUCCUAGUUGAAAAUUCUAGGGGUAGCAGAAUAUCCAGCAAAUGGAAGGAAGCUUGCUCAUUGAGUUAGUGGACAUAGCUGGACUAAGAAUGCUGACAUGAGUAGCCUAAAAGGAGGUAAAUUUCCUCUUCGCCGAAAGCAGAAGGGUUUCAUUUGUUAGGUCUAUACCUAUAUGAUUAAAGCAACGGCCUCUAAGACAAUUAAGAAAGGAAACUUUCAUGUGUCGAUGAGUAAUUCUUCUGUAGGGCAGUAACCUUCCUUAUUAAUUUAUCUUGUUUUCAGAGGUAUAUUUCAAAGAGUAAGGUUCAGGAAAGAGCCCUACGGAAAACUCCAAAUUUGGAAACUCUCCAUAUUUUUUUGGGGUUAAUACUAACCGUACCCUAAACCGACUCAGGUCUGCAAGUAGAGUAUACUAAGGCGUAGAGAUAAUCGUCUUGAAGGAACUCGGCAAAAUGACCCCGUAACUUAGGGAGAAGGGGUGCCACUAAUUUGUGGCGGCACAAAACAGGGGGGCGCGACUGUUUACUUAAAACACCGGACUCUGCUAACACUAAGGUGGAUGUAUAGAGUCUGAUACCUGCCCAAUGCUAGAUAAUCAACUAAGCCGUUUUAGGAUGGCAAAGGAAGCUCUAGUUAAUGGCGGCUGUAACCUUGACGGUCCUAAGGUAGCGAAAUUCCUUGGCAUUUAAAUGAUGUCCCGCAUGAAAGGUUUAACGAAGCUCCUACUGUCUCCAAGACGAACUCGGCGAAAUUGAAUUAUCCGUGAAGAUGCGGAUUACCUCCAGCUAGACGAGAAGACCCUUUGAAGCUUUACUGUAGCUAGUUAGUGUGUAAUUGCUACUUAGAUAUUAAGGGAGUCGACUAGACAUGAUACCUUGAUCUUUGUAGUAGAUUUCACUAUUAAGGCUGGCUAGUAGACAGUUUGUCUGGGGCGGCAAUCCUCACCUAAAGUAACUGAGGAGUCCGAAGGUAUGUUUUACUAGGUUGGAAACCUCUUUAUGGCUAUGGUGAGCCUAAAUAAGCGUAAUGGUAUAAGCAUGCUUAACUGUGAGACCUACAAGUCAAUCAGAUAAAACCCUUUCCACGGUAUUAUUCUUGUCAUAAUGAAGGAGUACGCUAAUUAUAAGGGUAUAGGUAACUAGGGCAUAGUGACCCGGUGAAACAUUAUGGAAUGUUCAUCGAUCAACGGAUAAAAGCUACUCAAGGGAUAACAGGCUGAUCUCCCACGAGAGUUCAUAUUGACUGGGGGGAUUGGCACCUCGAUGUCGGCUCAUCCUAUCCUAGAGCAGAAUAAGGUUCUAAGGGUUCGGCUGUUCGCCGAGUAAAAGGGUACGUGAGCUGGGUUAAGUACGACGCGAGUCAGUACGGCUUCUAUCUACUGGAGGGAGUUGGAAGUAAAGAGGAAGCUAUCUUUAGUACGCGAGGACUUAGAUGGAGUGACCUCUGGUUUACCAGUUAUCAAAGGCUAAUAAAGCUAUGGUAUGGCUGGAAAGCUACGUCACGAAUAGAUAACUGCUGAAGCCAUAUCAAGCAGGAAACUAAUCCUUUAUACUUCCUUUUAAACUUAGAAUAGACCAUUCUAUUAAUAGGGUCUGGGUGUAAUAGCAGUAAUGUUUUCAGCCUCAGAUUACUAAUUGUUAAGCAACUUGGUUUUACCAGAUCGUU
RNAcentral lists this ribosomal RNA (3025 nucleotides) under Rhizophagus sp. (in: glomeromycetes). Its description in RNAcentral is "Rhizophagus sp. (in: Fungi) large subunit ribosomal RNA". It matches the Rfam family "Bacterial large subunit ribosomal RNA". Lineage: Eukaryota; Fungi; Glomeromycota; Glomeromycetes; Glomerales; Glomeraceae. The record is from RNAcentral.